UAUAAUAGUUAAAACUUUCAACAACGGAUCUCUUGGUUCUGGCAUCGAUGAAGAACGCAGCGAAAUGCGAUAAGUAAUGUGAAUUGCAGAAUUCAGUGAAUCAUCGAAUCUUUGAACGCACAUUGCGCCCCCUGGUAUUCCGGGGGGCAUGCCUGUUCGAGCGUCAUUACAACCCUCAAGCUCUGCUUGGUGUUGGGCCCCGCCGCCCCGGCGGGCCCUAAAAUCAGUGGCGGUGCCGUCCGGCUCCGAGCGUAGUAAUUCUUCUCGCUCUGGAGGUCCGGGUGUGUGCUCGCCAGCAACCCCCAAUUUUUUUCAGGUUGACCUCGGAUCAGGUAGGGAUACCCGCUGAACUUAA
This 355-nucleotide small RNA is filed under the name uncultured fungus. Its description in RNAcentral is "eukaryotic LSU rRNA". The stretch from base 13 to 166 matches the Rfam family "5.8S ribosomal RNA". The record is from RNAcentral. Lineage: Eukaryota; Fungi.